RNAcentral lists this ribosomal RNA (467 nucleotides) under uncultured bacterium. RNAcentral's name for it is "partial 16S ribosomal RNA". It matches the Rfam family "Bacterial small subunit ribosomal RNA", at positions 28 to 506 of the family's 1533-position model. The record is from RNAcentral.
GACGAACGCUGGCGGCGUGCUUAACACAUGCAAGUCGAACGGAAAGGCCCUGCUUUUGUGGGGUGCUCGAGUGGCGAACGGGUGAGUAACACGUGAGUAACCUGCCCUUGACUUUGGGAUAACUUCAGGAAACUGGGGCUAAUACCGGAUAGGAGCUCCUGCUGCAUGGUGGGGGUUGGAAAGUUUCGGCGGUUGGGGAUGGACUCGCGGCUUAUCAGCUUGUUGGUGGGGUAGUGGCUUACCAAGGCUUUGACGGGUAGCCGGCCUGAGAGGGUGACCGGCCACAUUGGGACUGAGAUACGGCCCAGACUCCUACGGGAGGCAGCAGGGGGGAAUAUGGCACAAUGGGCGGAAGCCUGAUGCAGCAACGCCGCGUGCGGGAGGACGGCCUUCGGGUUGUAAACCGCUUUCGCCUGUGACGAAGCGUGAGUGACGGUAAUGGGUAAAGAAGCACCGGCGAACUACGU